RNAcentral lists this long non-coding RNA (1256 nucleotides) under Lucilia cuprina (Australian sheep blowfly). RNAcentral's name for it is "uncharacterized LOC124419389, transcript variant X4". Lineage: Eukaryota; Metazoa; Arthropoda; Insecta; Diptera; Calliphoridae. The record is from RNAcentral.
AAAUUGAAUUGAAUUGAAUUCUUUAUUGAGACUUUUUUCUUUUUUUUUUAACAACAUUCGAAAGGUUAAUAUUAACCAUAUGAUAAUUAACAGAUGAUUCUUAGAACUAUAUCCGUCUUGUUCUAGUACACGGUAAUUGAAUAAGCAACUUGCUAAAAAUAUAAUUGACGAUUAUUCUAAAGUAUAUGUAUAGUGAGUAUUUUCAAUGCUUGCUCACGGCAUUUAAGUUAACAAACAGAGCCAAAGUCUGUACAAACAAAAACAUAACAUCAAAUAAAUAACACUUAAAACUAUAUAACAAAACGAAAUGUCAAAAGCAUUCUCGGAAUGACAAUAAUGGGUGAAAAACAUGAAGUAAACAUUCGCACCGAUAAUAAACAAGUAUCACAGUCGGGAUUCAGCUAGCCCCUAUGGGAGCCUGGUGCGGUUCUGAGGAAAAAUUGCGAGUGAGAGAUGGCAUCGUGGUCAAGGUUAACAAUGCCAAUGGGAGACAGAUAAGUGAUUAUCAUGGAACUCAAGGUGCUCUACAAAACGUUUUUGUAAUGUUAGUGCGUAAGUACACAGCGGAGUUAUAUCCGAGUUUUCGUAGAUAUAUGAGUUGGAGAACCGUCUAGUUGGGUUCCGGAAAUUCUUACCGAGACAUUUUCUCAAUAUGGACCUCUCAAAGAUUUCCAGAUCUUUCGCUACCACAGGAGAGAUGGUGAACCAAAUGGGGAAAGCAUAUAUAUGCUCAAAAAUUUUACCAACAUUCGAUAAUAAUGAGAUGGGUCUGAAUUCCUCAAUCCGAGUGCUGUUGUUUUUCUUUUCAAUUGGAAUGAUUUUAGAGGUUUUCCACGCUUUAGGAAAGUAGCAAUUGUUCAGACAAUUGUUAAACAUACAUGACAAGAGCCUCAAAGAGCUGUCUGGUAAUUUUUUUAUUAAAAAGUUUGAAGGAUUUGUGAAAUGAUAACUGUCGUCGUUUCGAAUAGAGCCGAAGGAAAUAUCAAACGAAUAAAUAUGUCGGGGGCAAUCCGCAAUGUAUGAUGAAACUCGCUCAGAGAGGUCGGAAACGGGACACACAGAUUUCUGUUUUCAGGAGGUGUAAUAGAGUUCAUGGCAAUAUCUAUGUCACGCCUAAAGUUGUUCCAGUUCGUCUUUUUAUAUGAGGGGAAAUGGUCCGAGAAAGUUGGCAAACUAGUAAUCCUAAAGUUUGGAACCUCUCUGUUUACAAAAUGUGCACUCAGAAGAAAGUGGUCAGAAACGAGUCUCCAUUGGGG